AAGGACUGGAAUUUGUCUUUGAAUUCUCGUUAUGCAUAUUGUGCGAGCCAGGUGAAACAAAGAAUUUAGAGGACACGUUCUAAGAUAUUGCGAGAACGCUACAGCAGAAUUACUUGAUGUAUGAUGAUUCAAAGCUUACAUUAAUUGUUGUAUACCAACGAUAUCUAAUAUUUAAGUUAGUAUAUCUAUACCAAAAUU
Long non-coding RNA from Ceratina calcarata, 198 nucleotides. RefSeq lists it as uncharacterized. NCBI's taxonomy places the organism in Eukaryota, Metazoa, Arthropoda, Insecta, Hymenoptera, Apidae. The transcript is spliced from 2 exons. The record is from RefSeq and is a predicted model, not a curated record.